UACGUAGGGUGCAGGCGUUAAUCGGAAUUACUGGGCGUAAAGCGUGCGCAGGCGGUUAUGCAAGACAGAUGUGAAAUCCCCGGGCUCAACCUGGGAACUGCAUUUGUGACUGCAUGGCUAGAGUGCGGCAGAGGGGGAUGGAAUUCCGCGUGUAGCAGUGAAAUGCGUAGAUAUGCGGAGGAACACCGAUGGCGAAGGCAAUCCCCUGGGCCUGCACUGACGCUCAUGCACGAAAGCGUGGGGAGCAAACAGG
RNAcentral lists this ribosomal RNA (253 nucleotides) under uncultured bacterium. RNAcentral's name for it is "partial 16S ribosomal RNA". It matches the Rfam family "Bacterial small subunit ribosomal RNA", at positions 524 to 776 of the family's 1533-position model. The record is from RNAcentral.